AUGGCGUUUAUCCACUCAGCUGUUAAGCCACUUAGAAAUGUGAGGAUCCAACAUGAGAUUCAUGGCACGGCUGUGACACUACCUCACCCAACAGACAGACCCAGGAUCCGUAAUUCGGAGAUCCGGCAGCGCGAGCUGUCCGCAGUGUGCCGGCCAGCUCGGAGAUCUCUGUGUGCGCCAGAGCAUUUCAUUAUUGUUUAUGUUAUUUUGUGUUUUGUGGCGAGAAUAAAGAUUAUCCUUUUUCUUUACUCUGCAUCUGAGUCCUCUGUCCAGUACGCUCUCGUGACAUAUAUAUAUAUAUAUAUAUAUAUAUAUAUAUAUAUAUAUAUAUAUAUAUAUAUAUAUAUAUAUAUUAGUGCUGUCAAAAUUAGCACGUUAACGCAUUCGAUUAAUUUGAAAUAUUUAACGCGUAAAAAAAAAAAUAACGCAAUUAACGCGGUUGCAGUUUUUUUUUUAUUUCCAGUUGUGGCCUAUGUGUGUUCAACGUGCAAAGAAAUAUGGACAAGACCAAGGAAGGACUUUUAGACGGAAAGUUUCAGUAUAAAACUCUGCCGGAUUACUCUUCAGUCUGCCACAAGAAACAUUACUCUUCAUUCAGUCUGCCACAAGAAACAGCAACAUUAAAAUCAUGAACUCAAAUGUCAUUGUUUAAAAAAAACAAAAAAAAACAAUGACUGUAACAGUGCGUAAAUCAGACCUUUCUGUAACGCUAACGUUAAUAAGCUUAAACGAAAAUAACGAAAUAAUUGUGUAGCGGAGUAUUUUUUGUACACAGAGCCGCGAACUGUCAAUCACUCCUGUACGCGUGCAUCACUGUCCUCCUCGCAGCUGCAGCAACUUGCGCUCUCUCUCUUCAUCAAGCUUUAAAACAAAAAGGGGACAAAAAGAUCAUAUUGUCUUUGUGCAUAGGCUAUAGAUUAAUUAGAUAAAUGAAUAUCUAAAUUUGUGCCUUGCCGUCUACGGUAUUUUUUUAGAACUUAGAAAAAAGAUGCUGCAGCCAAUGAGCAGCCAGCGGGGGCUGCAGGACGACUCAACCUCCGCAGACAGUUUUUAAUGUUUAUCAGACAAUAACUACUCAAGAUUUUGCUUUAGUAUAACUCACAACGAGUUUCACACACCUUCUCCGGCCACGUUGAGUUGUUGACACUUACAGAGGGAAAAGCGACACAUGCGCUAUUCACUUGUAUAACUUAAGGGUGAAUGGGUAAUGUAGUUUCUGCUCUGGGUGGGAUGAAUUAGGAAGCUUGCAUUGUGAAGGGCGCUCUGAAAAUCGGCAGUGCAGGUAAAAGAUUAAAACCUCUAUUAAAACAGAUGUCCAAAUGAGCGUACCGGUACGCUACAAGCACGUUCUGGGCGCACGGAGAGGUGGCGGUACGCUCAAGAGCUAUAUUUGGAAGUGGCGGUAGGCUACUGAGUACCCCUGCGUACUGGCCCACUUAAAGCACUGGCAAUGACUAUACUUUGGAAUUUUUUUGCAGUCCACUUAGAAUUCAACAUGGAAAUCAUUUUUGUUUUUUAUUGGCAUUGAUUGUUUUGAAAUUCAAAUGGUACUUACAUGCCUGUGUUUUUAUUUCUGUAAUAAAUAUGGCUUUCAAGCCAACAGUUAAUUUGGAGGAUAUUGAUGGUUUAUUGCAGGUAUGUUGUUUACAUGAGAAAAUCUGUGUUACAAGUUAAACAAAAAUUCCAAUAAACAAUCAUAUUUUGAAUUUAAAUAGUUUCUUUGUCUUGAGUUUACAUUAAUUAUUUACAUUUUACAUUUACAUAUACAAAAAGUUUCAGUCUUUUAAUUGCGAUUAAUCGCGAUUAAUUUUAAAAAAUUGUGCGAUUAAUUAGUUAAUUUUUUAAUUUUUGACAGCACUAAUAUAUAUAUAUAUAUAUAUAUAAAAAACAUGAAAAAAUGAAGCAGAUAUUUCUCAUGAAUUCCCUUUUUGAGGUAAAUUAUAUAUUAGAUUAUUAUAAUCUAAUACAAUUGUCACACCCCUGGUGUUACAAACACGCCAGGUUCCACCUCCACACAAUUACAGCGCACACCCUCACCUGAAUACUAGAUCACCACCACCUGUUCCUCAUCACCCACUCAUCAGCGCUGCACCAUAAAAGCCACACACACGCACUCAGUCUUCAUCCGGUCACGUUCGCGACAAGAUCAUUCCUGUAUGCUUACUAUAAGGACUAACUCCUCUUCUACUCUCUCCAGAGACUCUCUCCAAAGAACCCAGUUCCCCGAAGUGUGCAUGUGUGUGGUUCACCAUCCCUCCAAGAAGUCACAGCCUUACCUGCACGGAUCCUAACUCCUUCUCACUCCUCACUUCCUGCUCCUCUGCUUGUGUCUUUAAAAAUAAACAUCUUCAUCUGUUACCUCCUCACCUUCCUGAGUGAUCCAUAACAGAUGACCGGACCAAGACUGACAGGCACAAGCAUGAGCCUCACAGACCCAUUCCAAGAUCUGGUAGAUGCACUCCGUCGAACACUCAUGGCAGUCCCAGCAUCUCCUCCACCAGCGAGCACUUCCGACGACCCCCAUCAUCACUUCCUUACCUGCCGUGCACGCCAGUCCCAUGGCCAGGCCAGCGCCCUACUCUGGUUUGGCGGAGGAAUGCAGCGGAUUUCUCCUUCAGUGUUCACUGGUCCUGGGGAUGCAACCGCACAUGUAUCCAACGGACUGCUCUAAGGUAGCCUUUAUCAUUUCCCAAUUGCAAGGCAAAGCACUACUGUGGGCAGAUUCACUCUGGACUCAGAAUAACUCAGUUAUCCAGUCUUAUUCUAGCUUAAUCUAACAUUUUCGUGAAGUUUUCGGUAGACCUGCUUGGGACUCUUCGAUUUGUGAGAAGCUGUAUAAUUUAAAACAAGGGAAAAUGUCUGUCAAUGAAUAUGCCUUGCAGUUUAGGACUCUGGCGGCCUCCAGUGGAUGGAACGAACAGGCUUUGCUGACGACCUAUCGUCAAGGACUGGAACCCCGAGUGCGGUUGCAUCUCGCUGCAUAUUAGGAUACCAUCGGCCUCGAGAGAUUCAUCCAGUUAUCCAUUCGCUUCGCCACUCGUAUGCAGUCGUGCUUAGAAGAGCACCAGGGUCAGGCGCAUUCCUCCACUCCACUCUGCCGACCAGAUAAUGUCAGCUCCCCAGAACCAACCAGCGAACCUAUGAUUGUGGAUUCCUACCACCUCACGAUGGCGGAGCGUCAAAGACGGCUGGCCCAGAAUCUAUGCCUCUACUGUGCAGCCCCGGGGCAUACCAUAGCAGUGUGCCCCGUCCAUCCUCCUCGUCCCAUGGUGAGUGCCAUCCUCCCUUCAAGAUAUCAAAUGAGACCACUCACCACUGUUGUCACACUUACUGCCGCUGAUGUAUCUCUUCCAGUUUCCGCCCUCCUCGAUUCUGGGUCAGCCGGCAACUUCACCACUGGCCCCUCUGUCGUCAGCUCAAACUCCCCACUACGGCUACGCCGUCUGCCUACCAGAUCCACAUAAUCACCGGAAGGCCGUUAAGAAAGUAGUACAUAUGUCAUUGUGUUGGUCCCAUCUCCCUCAGAACUGGACUUCUGCACCAUGAGGAGAUCCAUCUGCUGGUUCUGGAGGAAUCCACCGCUGACGUUAUCUUAGGGCGCCCAUGGUUGGAGCAGCAUAACCCCAUGAUUUCUUGGAGAACCAGCGAGAUCCUGAAUGGGGCGAAGCCUGUUUCCAAUCAUGCAUCUCCAGUUGUCCCAUUCCUGUUGAGCACCCCCCUGAACCACUACCAGUCUCCUCCACCUCAUUUGAGAGCCCGAUCGAGCACCAGUCCAUCACCAUUCUUCAGUGCUACGCCCCCUCAGCGAUGUCUUCUGCCCUAAGCGGGCCUCCAAGCUGCCUCCAAACCGGCCAUGGGACUGUGCUAUUGAUCUGCUGCUGGGUGAACCAGUGCCAAAGGGAAGGACAUAUCCCCUA
RNAcentral lists this long non-coding RNA (3917 nucleotides) under Carassius auratus (goldfish). Its description in RNAcentral is "lncRNA (ENSCARG00000066898.1)". The record is from RNAcentral. Lineage: Eukaryota; Metazoa; Chordata; Actinopteri; Cypriniformes; Cyprinidae.